This 449-nucleotide ribosomal RNA is filed under the name uncultured bacterium. Its description in RNAcentral is "bacterial SSU rRNA". It matches the Rfam family "Bacterial small subunit ribosomal RNA", at positions 331 to 798 of the family's 1533-position model. The record is from RNAcentral.
CCAGACUCCUACGGGAGGCAGCAGUGGGGUAUAUUGGGCAAUGGGCGCAAGCCUGACCCAGCAACGCCGCGUGAAGGAAGAAGGCUUUCGGGUUGUAAACUUCUUUUAAGAGGGAAGAGCAGAAGACGGUACCUCUUGAAUAAGCCACGGCUAACUACGUGCCAGCAGCCGCGGUAAUACGUAGGUGGCAAGCGUUGUCCGGAUUUACUGGGUGUAAAGGGCGUGUAGCCGGGCUGACAAGUCAGAUGUGAAAUUCCGGGGCGCAACCCCGGACCGGCAUUUGAAACUGUUGGUCUUGAGUAUCGGAGAGGCAGGCGGAAGUCCUAGUGUAGCGGUGAAAUGCGUAGAUAUUAGGAGGAACACCAGUGGCGAAGGCGGCCUGCUGGACGACAACUGACGGUGAGGCGCGAAAGCGUGGGGAGCAAACAGGAUUAGACACCCCAGUACAC